CACAAACGUCAGUAUUUUUUAUAUACAAAUAUAGUGCGUGCUUCAGCGCGCUGUACACUUUCUAAGAAUCCUACUUCUUUUUGUAAUCGUGUAACCUCGGGCUCCCCAAAAGGCACUUGGAGCUGCUGUUAAAUAACAACAAAGUAAAUAAUAAAUCUAAGUUAGCGAAUACGCGAAUAAAUCUAGUAAAAAUGUGACAAAGACAUUUAUUAAAAUGUUUCAACACAAAGCUGUCUUAGAAUUAAAGAACCUUAAAGAGGCGCUGACUCAAUUUGGUGGCAGGGUGCCAGAAAAACGUGGUUAUUUAUCGCAGCAUCACUUAAAAUGUAAUGCGGUAGUGUCGGUGAGGGUGCUCGUACUAACAAUAAAACAAAUGAUGUGGGUUUGAAUAAGUGCUUGUGUUCAAAAAACAAGUCUACACAAACCGAGCUUUAAUCCCUGAAAGCUUACAAAAUUGUCAAAUGUUGAGGUUACCCUAAAAAUAAAGGGCACGGAACAAAAAACAACAAACAAACAAGCAGAAAACAAAAAAAAAAAUGGAUUUAUUCAACAGACAGACGGCAAAUGGAAUAGAAUUCGUAAGCAAAGGUAACACCUUUCAAGCCCACACUUUGUUGUUUUGCAGCCUUAUGUAAUCCGCCGGCGAAAGGUUUGCAUACGAAAAACGAAAUACAAAAGCAAAAAAUUAGCAGAUAAAAAACAAAAAAGUAAAAUAUGGCAAAUGUAGAAUAGUCGUUGUCGGAAAGGAAAAAUGGGCAAAAGUGCUAACAAUGGUUAAAAAAUAGCGGCAAAAACUGCGAAAUAGUGAAAAACUGAAGGAUUUGAAUUUGAAUUUAAAAUACAUACAUUUUCUUGACAUGGCACACCUGGGUAUGCGUAGUGCAUUCAGCAUUCAACGCCCAUUUAAAUUAGAUGCCGAGGAAAGUGGCAAGAAUUUUUGGCGUUACCGUAAUAUUUUCAAGGAAUUUUUGCUUGUAUUACAAAUGAACUAGAAAUGCUUCCAAAAGGAUUGCUGUAAUUUGAAAUGGAAAGAUUUGGCAGUUUGAUCGGAAUCAUCUCGAAGAUAGUUUAAUAGAAGGAGACGAAGAGGAUAUUUUUUUAAUUUUUGACUUAUUAAACCAUAAGGAUCGAUGGAUAUAGAUCAGAGUAUAGAAUACGAACUGAUGAUGAGUUCACUAGUUGAUCGAAUAGAAACGACUUAAAAAUAUUUAAGUACUCUAUAAUAAAUUGAAUUUAAAAUUUAUAAAAUGGAGAAAUUGUCGGAAGAUGUACGAUAUUGAAAUAUAAUAUUAUCCCAAAGAACCAAUGCGUAAUUUUAAAUAUUUUUUAUUAAAUAAUUGAAAACAUUUGGAUCCUAGAGAUGUGGACUACAAACUUAAAUGCGACAUCCAUGAUACCUAGAAGCCUGGUGAAGGUAAUUGUUUGACGAUCGUACUAAGUAUUAUUUAAAUUAUAUUGAUGAGCGUGUAGUCUAAGGCUCUGACCAAUAACAAUAACACGCCCUGUUAUUGAAUGAAGCUUCAAUCAGAAUAUUGGCGGAGUUAAUCUCUCUGACAGGCUCUUAGAACUUUCUGAAAUAGCCUAAAGUCCUAAAAAACUCAGAACCUUCAAGUUUACAUAAGUUAAUACUUAUAUCCAUAUUAAUAAUAUCAAUGUGACCUCAA
Molecule: long non-coding RNA, 1664 nt
Organism: Zeugodacus cucurbitae (melon fly)
Lineage: Eukaryota; Metazoa; Arthropoda; Insecta; Diptera; Tephritidae
Exons: 3
Source: RefSeq, a predicted model, not a curated record